RNAcentral lists this long non-coding RNA (780 nucleotides) under Phascolarctos cinereus (koala). RNAcentral's name for it is "lncRNA (ENSPCIG00000032450.1)". The record is from RNAcentral. Lineage: Eukaryota; Metazoa; Chordata; Mammalia; Diprotodontia; Phascolarctidae.
AAGGCAAGAGCUCAAGAGGGCAGCACGCAAGGAGAAGAAAAUGAAUGGAUCUAUGGUGGCAAAAAUUAAAAAAAAAAUCCAGGAACCAUUGGUAUAAAACUCUGGAUACCAAAGGAGCCCUCCUCUCUGUUCCUCCGUCCAAGCAUCAGGAAAGUCAAUACAAUGAUCAGAACUAUCCUGAGGACUGAUAUGUCUGGGAACUGUUCUGAUCACCACCACCGCCACCACCAAGCAGGAGUAUACACGUGCACUAAGGCAGCAACUGGGAAACAUGCUGGGCAUAGAACAUUGAUGGCUAUUCACAGCAAAGAGCCUGCUUGGCCCUGGUUUCCAAGUCAUCAUCAGACACCCUGACCAAGCUCAAGGCUGGAUUAUGUCCAUCUCUGUCCACAACUUUCCUCUGGAGUAGCUUCUCUCACUCCUGCUGCUGAACUGCUGCUGGACCCCAAAUCGCCUGGGAGAGAUCUGCAAUUCAAUGGCGGGAUGACAUCAGUGAUGAAACAGUUCCUAAAGAUACAGAGCCAACUCUUCAAACAUGAUCUCGGAAGUAGGACGAGUACAUUUUGUUUCUAAGUUUCAAAUCAGAGAACUGCAUGGCCAGCGAAGCCUGUGCCAAGUUUUAUUUGCGCAAUUUUCAGAAGCUGUUUUCAAAAUGGGGUUCAAGAAUUUGCCAAAGGCUUUGAAACACACAUACUAACACGGAGGGCCCUUAGUACUAGUAUCAGAGUUACCCAUUAUUGUCAAGAUGGGGCCCUGGAUGAAUGACUCCUUGGAGUAACG